CCAGCAUCAGUGAUGAAUACUCUAAAUUGUUAUCCUUGCACUUUGAUUGCCAGUGAAGAAUCUUAUGGGGAAUGAUCAUUCUGAGAUGCCA
Molecule: small nucleolar RNA, 91 nt
Organism: Neltuma alba
Lineage: Eukaryota; Viridiplantae; Streptophyta; Magnoliopsida; Fabales; Fabaceae
Product: small nucleolar RNA snoR26
Exons: 1
Source: RefSeq, a predicted model, not a curated record